RNAcentral lists this ribosomal RNA (488 nucleotides) under uncultured bacterium. Its description in RNAcentral is "partial 16S ribosomal RNA". It matches the Rfam family "Bacterial small subunit ribosomal RNA", at positions 28 to 507 of the family's 1533-position model. The record is from RNAcentral.
GACGAACGCUGGCGGCGUGCUUAACACAUGCAAGUCGAACGCGCCUGUCCUCUGGGUUUCUGGGGGGUGGGUGAGUGGCAAACGGGUGAGUAACACGUGAGUAACCUGCCCCCUUCUUCGGGAUAACGGUCUGAAAGGGCUGCUAAUACCGGGUAUUCACUGGUCUCCGCAUGGGGUCUGGUGGAAAGGUUUUUUUCUGGUGGGGGAUGGGCUCGCGGCCUAUCAGCUUGUUGGUGGGGUGAUGGCCCACCAAGGCUUUGACGGGUAGCCGGCCUGAGAGGGUGACCGGUCACAUUGGGACUGAGAUACGGCCCAGACUCCUACGGGAGGCAGCAGUGGGGAAUAUUGCACAAUGGGCGCAAGCCUGAUGCAGCGACGCCGCGUGAGGGAUGGAGGCCUUCGGGUUGUGAACCUCUUUCGCCCGUGGUCAAGCCGCGACGUGGGUCGUGGUGAGGGUAGUGGGUAAAGAAGCGCCGGCUAACUACGUG